UUGCAUACUUUAUGACUCUGAUUCAGCAUAGCCAUCCCUUUGUCCUUUCUAGGUUUAGUCUGUGUUCAUCCAAGACAGAAACUAGCUUUGACAAAGUACAGAUGAUGCUCCCUAUGAACCCAUUCUGUAAUCUCCCAGGUCGGGGGUCCAAUUCUGAUAGGGUCCCAGGGUCCCUCAGUUGUCCACAGGAUGACCCUGCCCCCCACACUCCUUAUUCCUGCCUGCAAAUAAUCAUAUAUUUGUAGCAGAAGCGCUGGUUACAGCUGACAGCUUUAAGAAGAUGUGAUUUUCCUUUCCAUAACUUUACCUUUUCAGAGAUGUGGACACAUUGUCUUCACAGUCCAUCAGCAUGGUAUCAUUGGGCAGGUUCUGACCUGAGCAGCUGGGAUGGGUGAAGCUCUCAGAUGAGAGGCCAGCGGGAGCGUCCUCUGCAGGUCUCCACUGCUCACUGCAUGACAAUGGUGUGGCUAGAAGGGGUAACGCUGGUGCUGACAUCUG
Molecule: long non-coding RNA, 498 nt
Organism: Brienomyrus brachyistius
Lineage: Eukaryota; Metazoa; Chordata; Actinopteri; Osteoglossiformes; Mormyridae
Exons: 3
Source: RefSeq, a predicted model, not a curated record